AGUGUGUGAGGGUCGCACAUUACACACCUGUUUUUUUUCUUCUUUCUGUGUUGCCCAGGAAUUUAUCACAUGCUUCUUGUGAAGGUCCAACUCAAUCUGAGGGUGAGAAAGAAAAUAUUAAUUUCCCCAAGGGCCUGCGUGAGACUGACCGAGGUGACUUACUGCGGUCGGUGCCACCUGCUGGAACCUGACCAUGACUCGCUGCCCCAACAAAAGCAGUCUGGAUGAGGGCCAGGGUAGUCACGGCCUUCACACCUAAGGUCAAUCCCUGGCACCACAUCCCUGUGCUGCUCCCGGAGCCUUCGUUCCCGCAGGCUCAUACUCAGCCUCAGUUCCUCCAGCUCUUCGGCCAGCAAGUCCUGCUCCUCCAGCAUAAGCUUCCUGAGUCUCUCCCGCCGGACCUCCAGAUUCUUCCUCCUCUCCUCCUCCAUCUUACCACAGUAGAGGGCGUGCAUGCUAGGUCCCGCGGCGACCGCGACGCCUCGUCCCGCCCCUCGGCCCAGCCUAACCUCUGACUCCUGCGCCUGGCGCCGGAGGUU
Rattus rattus (black rat) is the source of this 539-nucleotide long non-coding RNA. RefSeq lists it as uncharacterized. NCBI's taxonomy places the organism in Eukaryota, Metazoa, Chordata, Mammalia, Rodentia, Muridae. The transcript has 3 exons. The record is from RefSeq and is a predicted model, not a curated record.